UUUCCGUAGGUGAACCUGCGGAAGGAUCAUUACAGAGUUCAGGCCCUCUCAGGUAGGUGUCCCACCCUUGAAUAUUUAUAGCUUAGUUGCCUUGGCAGGCCGUGGAAACACCAUGGGCUCCGGCUUAUGCGUGCGUGCCAGAGGAAACAAACUCUGUUCAUAGAGAUGUCAGAGUUCUCUAUAUUAGUUAAAACUCUCAACAACGGAUCUCUUGGUUCUG
Molecule: unclassified non-coding RNA, 220 nt
Filed under: plant metagenome
Description: partial contains small subunit ribosomal RNA, internal transcribed spacer 1, and 5.8S ribosomal RNA
Source: RNAcentral